GAUGAACGCUAGCUACAGGCUUAACACAUGCAAGUCGAGGGGAAACGACAUCGAAGGCUUGCUUUUGAUGGGCGUCGACCGGCGCACGGGUGAGUAACGCGUAUCCAACCUGCCCACCACUUGGGGAUAACCUUGCGAAAGUAAGACUAAUACCCAAUGAUAUCUCUAGAAGACAUCUGAAAGGGAUUAAAGAUUUAUCGGUGAUGGAUGGGGAUGCGUCUGAUUAGCUUGUUGGCGGGGUAACGGCCCACCAAGGCGACGAUCAGUAGGGGUUCUGAGAGGAAGGUCCCCCACAUUGGAACUGAGACACGGUCCAAACUCCUACGGGAGGCAGCAGUGAGGAAUAUUGGUCAAUGGGCGAGAGCCUGAACCAGCCAAGUAGCGUGCAGGAUGACGGCCCUAUGGGUUGUAAACUGCUUUUAUAAGGGAAUAAAGUGGGAGUCGUGACUCUUUUUGCAUGUACCUUAUGAAUAAGGACCAGCUAAUUCCGUGCCAGCCGCCGCGGUAA
Molecule: ribosomal RNA, 508 nt
Filed under: uncultured bacterium
Lineage: Bacteria
Description: partial 16S ribosomal RNA
Rfam family: Bacterial small subunit ribosomal RNA
Source: RNAcentral